AGAGUUUGAUCCUGGCUCAGGAUGAACGCUAGCUACAGGCUUAACACAUGCAAGUCGAGGGGAAACGACAUCGAAAGCUUGCUUUUGAUGGGCGUCGACCGGCGCACGGGUGAGUAACGCGUAUCCAACCUGCCCACCACUUGGGGAUAACCUUGCGAAAGUAAGGCUAAUACCCAAUGACGUCUCUAGAAGACAUCUGAAAAGAGAUUAAAGAUUUAUCGGUGAUGGAUGGGGAUGCGUCUGAUUAGCUUGUUGGCGGGGUAACGGCCACAAGGCGACGAUCAGUAGGGGUUCUGAGAGGAAGGUCCCCCACAUUGGAACUGAGACCACGGUCCAAACUCCUACGGGAGCA
RNAcentral lists this ribosomal RNA (352 nucleotides) under uncultured bacterium. Its description in RNAcentral is "bacterial SSU rRNA". It matches the Rfam family "Bacterial small subunit ribosomal RNA", at positions 8 to 349 of the family's 1533-position model. The record is from RNAcentral.